GACCGCGUAGCUCAGUUGGCAGAGCAUUGGGCUAGUAUUCCAAAGGUCGUAGGUUCGAUUCCCAUCGUGACCA
Molecule: non-coding RNA, 73 nt
Organism: Paramuricea clavata
Lineage: Eukaryota; Metazoa; Cnidaria; Anthozoa; Malacalcyonacea; Plexauridae
Source: the annotation of a GenBank genome assembly